AAGGUCAUUAGUGGGGCACUAGUGGCGUCAAACUACUAUUACUAGAUGGGUAGUUCCAGCUAGGGUUUGCUAGGUGGUUUCUCAGUCAUUGCAUAUGUGGAUGGCUAUAAAAGGAUGUGUUAAAGGGUUUUGUUUUCUUGAGUCAGUUUAGGGUUCUUACAACAUAUACGAGGUCAUUAGGUCUUGGAUCUGUAAGAUUCUUUGGUGAUUUUAGAUGCCCAGUGUGGUUUUCUAUGUUUGUGUAGUGAAGAUGUUGCGUUUUCAGAGUAAAGUCACAGAAAUUGGUUUCAGAGCGUUGAAUGUAUUGGAUCUAAGGGUUUCUCGUAUAUGGUUUCCUCUAUAACUCUUUCUGCUGGGUUAGCUUAGCUCUAUUGUUGUAUUUUUCGACUCUUCCUUUUCUUCUUUGAUUCUUUCUAAUAUUUGUUUGUGCUGUUAUGGCCUUUCGAAGAUUAGAUGAGAUCUGUAAGAAUUUUGAUGUAACGCUGUGGAUUGACUUGUUUGGUAGUUUGUGUUUUUCUGGUGUUAGGGUUUGGUUUUUAUCAGUAUCUGUAUUAGGGUUAAGAAGUGGAGCUCCUUGAAGUCCAAUAGAGGAUCUUGCAGGGUAGAUUGAGCUGCUGAGCUAUGGAUCCCACAGCCCUAUCCCAUAAUAAAAAGAUCAGACUUCUUGGAUAGGCUUGCGGCUUGCAUAUCUCAGGAGCUUCAUUACCACAUAUGUUAGAUCCUUGUUUGGAUUGAAGGGAGCUCUACAUCUAAAUCUUUCACCUGUACUACUCGUCCUUGCUUUGCUCAUAUGUUGCUUGUGUUGUUUUGGAUUUUUAAUCUGAUAAAUUUAUGUACUUUUGUCAUUUUCUUGUAUUCUUUGCUGUUUCAGGAAUUGAUUGCUUUUAAAUCAAGAACUGGGUUUUACUAUUUUUGUGUACAUGGGACUGACUUGCUUGCACAAGCUAGCCCUGCAGGAACAGGAAGGAUCAAGGAUGAGCUCUCGUUUUUUCUGGGUUCUGGCCAACGAGGAAUUGGAGAUUUGAGUGGCUUAGAUUGCGCCAACCACAGGAUAGAUUUACUGUACCUUUUUCACAUUUAUUAUCUGUACGGUGCUCGUUGAACAAGAUAGGGACUCUGAAUUUGUAUAAAUAUUUUGCUGAAGUUUUACAAGAAAAUGUAACCUACCACUUUCUUUUUUCUAGUGAUUAAUUGUUUGAAUUUGCCUGUUAAUUUUGUUUUCUAAUUAUGUAAUUAUGAAAAAAUUAGGCUCUGUUUAAUUCAUUUUCUGAUUUCUGAUCGACUAAUCGUUGAUCCUGUUGAUAA
This 1305-nucleotide unclassified non-coding RNA is filed under the name Hevea brasiliensis (rubber tree). The stretch from base 556 to 758 matches the Rfam family "MIR159 microRNA precursor family". The record is from RNAcentral. Lineage: Eukaryota; Viridiplantae; Streptophyta; Magnoliopsida; Malpighiales; Euphorbiaceae.